Long non-coding RNA from Lagopus muta (rock ptarmigan), 1623 nucleotides. RefSeq lists it as uncharacterized. The record is from RefSeq and is a predicted model, not a curated record. The transcript has 3 exons. NCBI's taxonomy places the organism in Eukaryota, Metazoa, Chordata, Aves, Galliformes, Phasianidae.
UAAAGUCAGUCAAUCCUCAGAAGAUAUUCAACCUGGUACAAUACAGUUUUGCAUCCUCAUGUAGAAAAAACCAUUGGGUGACCUGUCUUCUUCCAUUCUCCCAAAGCGUCAGAAGUUAUGUUUACCUGUUCUGAUGGAGAAGUUAGUUAGAUGAGCAUUUAUAAUAUAGAUCCAUUAUAAUAUGGACUUGUUUAUACUUCUGGCUCCUACAGGGCCCCUUUUAGAGAGAGAAGCUAGAAAGUUGGGUAUGUCUUCUAUAUAUUUUACACUUUUUUUGCUGAGUGUUUACCCCUUGAAAAGUAAGAGCUACAUUAGUUAAGACUGCAAGCUAGCAUUUUUAGCAGACAGAGCACUGUAUAUUCCCAGCCAGCACAGCAGUAGCCUGCUCCAGAGAUUUCUAGUUGUUUCUACUUCAGGAAAGAUUGUUUUUCAUGUCUUCUGCAAUUUGCAGUAGGUACACACUUAUUUAGGUAACUGCUUGGUUGCAGUCUGUAUUUCGUCUCACACCACUGGACCGCAGCUCAAUCUGCCCAGCAGGAACAAAGCGUGGCAUUCUUUACAGCAUUAACAGAAAGAUGAACAUAAACUGUUCACCCAUUUCAGAUCCCAUGUUGCAUUGUUCUGUCAUUACACACAUACAACACAUUUUAUUCUGAUUUAACAGAACCUUAACUGACCUAAAAUAUUUUUGCUCCCUACUGCUAAAUUGUCUACACAACAGUAUCAGGUAGCUCUAGCAGGAAAGAAAUAAAACUGUUACAUUCUGCCUGAAUGAAUGGGCUAGGCUUUUUUCCUGCACUUUUUUCUUGUAAACCUUGUUUGAGGCAGUAUGACCAGAAAUUAAUCAUGUUUUUCAGAACUAAGAUGAGUAUUUGCCACACUUCCCGCGUAUCAGUAGAUACUACAGUUAUCUCUGCAAUGUCCUCUUCCUCACUCUCAGCUGUUCUCAGCUGAAAUAGAGUCAAUCAUCUUAAUAGUGGCUGAUACAGUUCUAUGUUUUGGAUUUAGGAGAAAAAUAACGUUGAUAAUGCAGUGAUGUUUUAGUGACUGUUGAGCAGUGUUCACACUAUGUCAAGGAUUUCUCAAUUUCUCACACAGUUCUGCCAGCAAGGAGGCUGGGAGUGUACAAGAGGCUGGGAGAGGACAGAACAGAUAGAUGACCCAAACAGACCACAGAGGUAUUCCAGGCCAUGUGACACCACACUGAGCAGUUGCAUGGGAACUGUUGAUCACGGCCUGGACCUCUGAUUGACCACCUGAGGGCAGCAAUGAGUCAGCUGCGGGAGCUACCAGAAGGGGUGGAGCCCAGCUCCUCCUCUCCUACAUCCCAUUUAAGGGCUGAUGCCAGUGAGGAUGUAUCUCCCCUCUCUCUUGAGAUCACUUCUUGUGGAGUUUACUGCGAGCCUAUGACACCGCCUAACCUCUGUAUACCUACUGAUUGUACAACACUAAAACUGGGGGAGUUGGCUGUGGGGGCUGCCAAUGCUCAGAGAGCAGCUGUGCAUCGGUCCAUGGGAGAGUGAUUGAACAGCUGAACGGUGUCGAGCUGCCUUUUGAGUUAAACUACAACACUUACCAAGUCCAAAUCUAUAUCCAUCAGAGAAUCGGGUGCUGGCAUUCCAG